CCGUCGCUGCUCCCGCAAGGGAGGAGAGGAAAGUCCGGGCAACACAGAGCACCGUGCUUCUUAACAGGAAGGGGCUCGCAAGGGUCACGGCAAGUGCCACAGAAAAGAUACCGCCUGCUUCGGCAGGUAAGGGUGAAAACGCGAGGUAAGAGCUCACGACGCCGUCAGUGAUGCCGGCGAUGGUAAACCCCACGGGUUGAAAAACCAAAUAAACCGGGGCUUGAGGGUUGCUCGCCCAACUCGGAGGGUAGGUCGAUUGAGACGGCCGGCGACGGUCGUCCUAGAUAAAUGACGGAACUGGCGCAAACCAGACAGAACCCGGCUUACAGACUGC
This 334-nucleotide RNase P RNA is filed under the name bovine gut metagenome. RNAcentral describes it as "Bacterial RNase P class A". It matches the Rfam family "Bacterial RNase P class A". Rfam says of the family: Ribonuclease P (RNase P) is a ubiquitous endoribonuclease, found in archaea, bacteria and eukarya as well as chloroplasts and mitochondria. Its best characterised activity is the generation of mature 5'-ends of tRNAs by cleaving the 5'-leader elements of precursor-tRNAs. The record is from RNAcentral.